RNAcentral lists this ribosomal RNA (253 nucleotides) under uncultured bacterium. Its description in RNAcentral is "partial 16S ribosomal RNA". It matches the Rfam family "Bacterial small subunit ribosomal RNA", at positions 524 to 776 of the family's 1533-position model. The record is from RNAcentral.
UACGUAGGGUGCAAGCGUUGCCCGGAUUUAUUGGGCGUAAAGGGCGCGUAGGCGGCUCGGCACGUCCGUUGUGAAAUCGCCCGGCUCAACUGGGCGGGGUCAGCGGAUACGGUCGAGCUUGAGCAAGCUAGGGGGCAAUGGAAUUCCCGGUGUAGUGGUGGAAUGCGUAGAUAUCAGGAGGAACACCGGUGGCGAAGGCGGGUCUCUGGGCCGAUACUGACGCUGAGGAGCGAAAGCGUGGGGAGCGAACAGG